This 253-nucleotide ribosomal RNA is filed under the name uncultured bacterium. RNAcentral's name for it is "partial 16S ribosomal RNA". It matches the Rfam family "Bacterial small subunit ribosomal RNA", at positions 524 to 776 of the family's 1533-position model. The record is from RNAcentral.
GACGUAGGGCGCGAGCGUUGUCCGGAUUUACUGGGCGUAAAGAGCGCGCAGGCGGUCGAUUUAGUCGUGUGUGAAAGCCCCCGGCUCAACUGGGGAGGGUCACGCGAUACUGAUCGACUCGAAGGCAGGAGAGGGUAGUGGAAUUCCCGGUGUAGUGGUGAAAUGCGUAGAUAUCGGGAGGAACACCAGUGGCGAAGGCGACUACCUGGCCUGUUCUUGACGCUGAGGCGCGAAAGCUAGGGGAGCAAACGGG